Molecule: ribosomal RNA, 253 nt
Filed under: uncultured bacterium
Lineage: Bacteria
Description: partial 16S ribosomal RNA
Rfam family: Bacterial small subunit ribosomal RNA
Source: RNAcentral
UACGUAGGGGGCGAGCGUUGUCCGGAUUUAUUGGGCGUAAAGAGCGUGUAGGCGGUUCGGUAAGUCUGUCGUGAAAUCCUGAGGCUCAACCUCGGGCGUGCGAUGGAUACUGCCGGGCUAGAGGAUGGUAGAGGCGAGUGGAAUUCCCGGUGUAGCGGUGAAAUGCGCAGAUAUCGGGAGGAACACCGGUGGCGAAGGCGGGACUCUGGGCCGAUACUGACGCUGAGGAGCGAAAGCGUGGGGAGCGAACAGG